GGAGGUUAUUGCCGCCGACGAGAAAAGGUCUGAUCUUGAACAUGAGCUUUCUCAGAAGGAAAUAAAUUUAGAAAAGUUGAGGAGAAUUGCUAAUACAGGUAUCCCUGAGGGAGGAGGUUUGCGCGCAGCAACUUGGAAGCUUCUCUUAGGUUAUUUGUCUCCUUCCCGUGACUUGUGGGAAAAGGAACUGACUGGGAAUAGACAAAAAUAUGCCAAGCUAAAAGAGGAACUUCUAUGUAGUCCUGUGAUGUUGCUGGACCACUUAAGAGACAU
Molecule: unclassified non-coding RNA, 273 nt
Filed under: Hevea brasiliensis (rubber tree)
Lineage: Eukaryota; Viridiplantae; Streptophyta; Magnoliopsida; Malpighiales; Euphorbiaceae
Source: RNAcentral